This 1386-nucleotide ribosomal RNA is filed under the name bacterium NLAE-zl-P335. Its description in RNAcentral is "16S ribosomal RNA". It matches the Rfam family "Bacterial small subunit ribosomal RNA". The record is from RNAcentral.
CAUGCAAGUCUACUUGAUCCUUCGGGUGAAGGUGGCGGACGGGUGAGUAACGCGUAAAGAACUUGCCUUACAGACUGGGACAACAUUUGGAAACGAAUGCUAAUACCGGAUAUUAUGACUGAGUCGCAUGAUUUGGUUAUGAAAGCUAUAUGCGCUGUGAGAGAGCUUUGCGUCCCAUUAGUUAGUUGGUGAGGUAACGGCUCACCAAGACGAUGAUGGGUAGCCGGCCUGAGAGGGUGAACGGCCACAAGGGGACUGAGACACGGCCCUUACUCCUACGGGAGGCAGCAGUGGGGAAUAUUGGACAAUGGACCAAAAGUCUGAUCCAGCAAUUCUGUGUGCACGAUGAAGUUUUUCGGAAUGUAAAGUGCUUUCAGUUGGGAAGAAGUCAGUGACGGUACCAACAGAAGAAGCGACGGCUAAAUACGUGCCAGCAGCCGCGGUAAUACGUAUGUCGCAAGCGUUAUCCCGGAUUUAUUGGGCGUAAAGCGCGUCUAGGCGGUUUAGUAAGUCUGAUGUGAAAAUGCGGGGCUCAACCCCGUAUUGCGUUGGAAACUGUUAAACUAGAGUACUGGAGAGGUAGGCGGAACUACAAGUGUAGAGGUGAAAUUCGUAGAUAUUUGUAGGAAUGCCGAUGGGGAAGCCAGCCUACUGGACAGAUACUGACGCUAAAGCGCGAAAGCGUGGGUAGCAAACAGGAUUAGAUACCCUGGUAGUCCACGCCGUAAACGAUGAUUACUAGGUGUUGGGGGUCGAACCUCAGCGCCCAAGCUAACGCGAUAAGUAAUCCGCCUGGGGAGUACGUACGCAAGUAUGAAACUCAAAGGAAUUGACGGGGACCCGCACAAGCGGUGGAGCAUGUGGUUUAAUUCCGACGCAACGCGAGGAACCUUACCAGCGUUUGACAUCCCAAGAAGUUAACAGAGAUGUUUUCGUGCCUCUCCGAAGGAACUUGGUGACAGGUGGUGCAUGGCUGUCGUCAGCUCGUGUCGUGAGAUGUUGGGUUAAGUCCCGCAACGAGCGCAACCCCUUUCGUAUGUUACCAUCAUUAAGUUGGGGACUCAUGCGAGACUGCCUGCGAUGAGCAGGAGGAAGGUGGGGAUGACGUCAAGUCAUCAUGCCCCUUAUACGCUGGGCUACACACGUGCUACAAUGGGUAGUACAGAGAGCUGCAAACCUGCGAGGGUAAGCUAAUCUCAUAAAACUAUUCUUAGUUCGGAUUGUACUCUGCAACUCGAGUACAUGAAGUUGGAAUCGCUAGUAAUCGCAAAUCAGCUAUGUUGCGGUGAAUACGUUCUCGGGUCUUGUACACACCGCCAANUCACACCACGAGAGUUGGUUGCACCUGAAGUAACAGGCCUAACCGUAAGGAGGGAUNUUCCGAGG